This is a non-coding RNA of Pelobates cultripes (western spadefoot toad), 1260 nucleotides long. Lineage: Eukaryota; Metazoa; Chordata; Amphibia; Anura; Pelobatidae. The record is from the annotation of a GenBank genome assembly.
CAGUGAAAAAGGAGCCCUUUUGACAUCUCCCUGGGGCUGAUCUUUAAUACCCAUAUUUAACCUCUGGACUACCAUCCGUGUGAGCAAUACAAAGCACACAAAGAAAUUAUGCUCAGAGGUUUCAAUAACAUUUGACUUGGCAACCUCUGCCUCCUUUGCUUUUGUAUACUACGACUCCCAAAAUGCCUAGCCAGACACCUUUUUUGGAAGUCGCUAGCAUACAUUUUUUAAAUUAGCAAAACCGCAAAUGCACAUGUGCAAACUGUGUUCUGUACACAACCUCGGAUAAAAUAAAAAGAAAAUUUAAAAAAAAUUAGGUAAUAAACGAAUAUAAGAAACAUCGGCAUAUUUAUUACUUAAACAUAUUUGAAUUCACUUCUUAACGUCUGUUGUUUUGGUUUGUAAAGAGAUUUUUUGCUGCUUUGCUGACAUUUUGUUUAGAUUUUGGCUUUUACAUUGCAAUGAGCACAGAUAGCCUGUGCAUGGUUUGGAAUGUGGGUUAGAACACAGAAUUCAAACCUUAUAAUCUGUAAUAGUAUAUUGUCAGUGUAAACAUGGUCUUUAAACUGCCAGGAACAGAAGAAACGGCAAUUGCAUUUAACUGGGAACAUUCCGUUAUCCCUGUCACAGGCUGCAGAUUGAGACGAAAAUGAAAAGUUAAAAGAAGUGAGUCAUAGGGGGGAAAUGUAGCAACAGAAAACAAUACGGAAUGUCCCCAAAUGUGGCAAAGGAUGAAUCAAACCCACACCCUUCUACAUCUCAUAGAAAAUUGGGCAGACUAGAUGGGCCGAAUGGUUCUUAUCUGCCAUCACAUUCUAUGUUUCUAUAGUGCUCCUAAAAAGUUGCAUGGUGACAAGCACGCCUUCAAGGAAAUGAUGUCCUCCCUAUGCCUCCCCUCCCAGAAGCAGUUCUUGUCUAAAGGUCAUGGGAGUUGCAGACAAAUGAACACCUGAAGGAAAUUUUAAAUGACUUUAACUCUUUUUGUACAAAGGUAAUUUGAGUCCCAGCAUCUUUAAUGCUAAUUGGUCACUAGGUCCUGUCUCUAUUGUAAAGAUCUAAAAAAAAAAUAAAAAAAAAAUAAAGGAAUAUGAUCAUAUUUUGGUUGCCUGUUUAAUAAAUAUAUAUAUAAAAAAAAUGUCUUCCCAUAAAUAUCUUUAAAAGGACACUGUAGGCACCCAGACCACUUCAGCUAAUUAAAGUGGUCUGGGUGCAGUGUCCCUUUUGCACAUACUGCUGCAAUGUAAAACACUGCAGUUCCAU